AUUUUCCUUCGGGGCAGGGUGAGGCAAACGCCAAUUCCCGAUCGGUGGUGACGCAGAAUUAAAUCCGCGCUUUGGCGGAUCCGCGAAGUCCACGAGCCUUUGGGCAUGAACUGGUGUGAAUCCAGUACCGACGGUAUAGUCCGGAUGAAAGAAGGAGAGU
RNAcentral lists this non-coding RNA (160 nucleotides) under Alicyclobacillus sp. RNAcentral describes it as "FMN sequence". It matches the Rfam family "FMN riboswitch aptamer (RFN element)". From Rfam's summary of the family: The RFN element is a highly conserved domain that is found frequently in the 5'-untranslated regions of prokaryotic mRNAs that encode for flavin mononucleotide (FMN) biosynthesis and transport proteins. This element is a metabolite-dependent riboswitch that directly binds FMN in the absence of proteins. The record is from RNAcentral. Lineage: Bacteria; Bacillati; Bacillota; Bacilli; Caryophanales; Alicyclobacillaceae.